Non-coding RNA from Tetranychus urticae (two-spotted spider mite), 4788 nucleotides. Lineage: Eukaryota; Metazoa; Arthropoda; Arachnida; Trombidiformes; Tetranychidae. The record is from RefSeq and is a predicted model, not a curated record.
CGAGGUUUCACAUAAACUGUAUCUCGUUGUUGAUGAUGUUGAUCAUUGUGUUGAUUAGAUUUUGUUAAUAGCUGCUGUUGUGAUAACUCUUUAUUGUGCUUACAAUCAAUUUGAACUGGAUGUAAAACUGGUCGAGAGUUUUACAGAGCUCAAUCCAACUGUGUUGAAGAUCAUCUUUACUAAAAAUGUCACACUGAUUAUUAAUUGAAUUUGAUGGUUGCUGAUGGCUUUCAAGCUGAUUAACAUUCAAUAAACUUGCUGCUAGUGUUGGCCAACUUUUACAAAUCCUACUGGAACUGGCUUUAAUCAAUGAAGUGAUAUCAUCAAGAUGAUCAUUACAAGUUCUGGUAAUAUUAGGAUUUUUACUGUCGUCACAAGAAACACAACUAUUCAAUCCUGGAUAGGAAAGACACCGUCCAUUGUUGAGCUACUUUCAUCAAAACCAUCACCCUUUUUCUUCUUCUCAUCUCCAUCUUCAUCGUCGUCUUCAUCAACACAAUCAUCUUUAUCUCCAUCAUGGUUGGCUUGUUUAUAAUUAGAAUGGUUAAAAUUGGCAUCACAGCAAGGUGAUGAAGAUUCGUUUGCUGUUGCUGCUUCUUCUGCUGUUAAUGUUGAGCAAGAUGAAAAGAAACAGCUUGAUCUAUGCCAUGGUAAACACUGAUUUUCCUGCGCACUUACAAAAUUAAUAUUAUGACAUCGGUUGUUGUUAAUGUUUUCCUGAUUUUGCUGUUUCUUAAUAUAAUAAUUAUCCCUGGUUUUGGUAUUACUGGUAGUUUCACAAAAAAGAAGGCACAGAGUUGAUCCACUUGGUAAAAUGGGACAAUCACUUGAAAUGAACGUUGAAUCUACACCAGUGGAAAUUAAAUCAUGUGAAGGCAGAGUUGGCGAAAUGCGGGGAAAAAACUGAUCACUGUCACUAUUUACAUCAUUAUUAUGGUUGACAUUAACAUAUGAAAAGGAUUGAAUUGAAGUAGCAAUGGUAGCAGUAGUGGUGUUAGCUGAUUGUUGCUUUUCACAAAACGUUUUAUUCUUAAUAUCCCGAGUGGUUGUGAUACAGUUGAAAUUAUUUUUCCAUCCACUGUUCAGAUUACAAGAGCUAGUUGAUUCAAGCUCACAGCAUCCACCUCCAGUUAAGGUUUGGCAAUCUUUUUUACUACACCAACAAAAGGAUGGAAGUGAGUGGGUUACAAUACAAUCCUGAUUGUUGCUGAAUUGACGAUGAUGAGCAUGAUGAUUGAAGCUGUUUGAUUCACCAAAAGAUGGUGAAGCUGAAAGAGAUGAUGAUCUGAUAAACUUUGGUUUACUAAUGGAUUUCAAAGUUUCCGAUUUUGUGACAGGAACCGUUGCUGUUAUUAUUGAUGGUGAUCCUGAUGUAAGGGAGGCACAAGAAGAGACUGAUCUCGGUGAUAAUGUUGAUGGUGAUGAGGAUAAAACUGAGCUCACAAGGUAUCCAUUUUGAUGGUUAGCAUGAUUAGGAUAAAGUCCAGUUUCAAGUGAUGAACAAUUUGGCGAAAGUAGCCAUGUCUGUCCAUCAAGAGUCGAUGGUUUCAUCAGUUACACCUGACAAAAGUCAAAAUAAAUUUGUUGGUCAGUAUAACAGCACAAAAUAUAUUUGGUUUUUUAUCACAGAGUCAACAAAACAACAAACAAAACAGGAUUCAAAAAUCGUUGAGAUAAGAUGAGUAACCACGAACAGGAUAAAGUUAAAGUAAAUGAAUGAACAACACAAGUUUUUACAGAUGUACAUCUUGUACUGGACAGCUUUUUCAAUGAAUCUUGAAAAAUGUUUCGAGACGAUAACAACAGACUGAAACAAUAACAAUAAGUUUUGAUAGUAAUGUCAGGUCAGUUGAGAUAUGUGGUGAAGAUAUUGUUGAGCUUUCCAAUGAAUAGUUUAUACUGACAAGUUGAAGAGAGGUAAGCAAAGGUAAAAAAGUUCAUCACCAUCCAUUUUUACCUGAUCAGCCUAGACCGAAGAAGAUGACCAAAGCCCGCCUCAAAACCGGUAAUCAUUGGAAAACAAGUAAAGAGGAAGGAAGAAAGGAUGAGAAAGAAAGCAAAAAAGAGGAUAAAACGAUGAAAGACGAAGAAGAUGAUUUUAAAAAAAAUGAAAGAUGAUGUAGGCUGGAUGAGAAAUAGAGGCUUUAAGUAAACAUUUACUUGACCAUUCAAAGUUAAAUUGUUAGUCAAUAAUAACUUUCAUCAAAUUUUGGGUGAUCUUUUGCAUCUGAGAGUCUUUUGCAUCUUUUUUCAUCUUCAUCUUCGUCUCUUUUUUUGUUUCAUUUUUCACCAACAAUUGUGAGCCUCUUCAAUUGAAUCCUCUUUGAUGAACCGAUUAUUUAACAAAUUGUUGAAAACUUGUAUCAGUAUCAUGAAAUAUUUUCAGGUAAAGAUGAAGAAGAUACUUGGUCAAGAUGGUAAAGGUUGAGAAGGAGUUGAAUUGAAAAAUAGAGUCAAGAGGUAAAUAUGAUGGUGAUGCUGAAUUUAUUGAAGGAGGUGAAGAUGAGGAUGAAAAAAAAACAGAAAGGAUGAAUGGGAAUUGAAGUGAAGACAAAAGGCUUUUACUUGAUCAUCUUACUGUUUUUUUUCAUCCAAGACAAUUUAACAUUCAAAUAAGUUGAUUGACAAUCAAUGAUUGACUGUUUGUUGCUCAUGGUAGGUUCAACACCUUAACCUAUCAUCCUGAUCAUCAUUAUAUUAUUUUGUAAACCAUCAAAGGUUAAAUCAUACUCAUGAUUACAUUUAAUUUGAUUGAUCAGAACCAUUUAAUUUCAACGUGUUCCAUUAAAAAUCAUCAUCCCUUCAUUGAUGCUCCUGGUUGUUCAUCUUCUUGGAUCCAUUACUUUCGAUUCGUUAUGCUCUUUGAAUUGUAAUUAUUUUGGAACUUCCAUUUUGAAUCUGACAGUGAAUGAAGUAAAAUAGAAACGCAAGUCGACCUCACAUUUUCUCGCAUCUUCAUCCCUUUCUUUUCUUCUUUUUCCUCUAAAUCUUGUUUACCUUUUCCAUGCAUCCUUUCAAUAUCAUUAACAUGAUUAUCUUCCUCUUCCUCUUGUAGUUAUUUUACUCGUAAAUGGCCAUGAUGAUGAAAAUCUUAACAUUUUCCUAUCACCUUGCAACUGCCAUUAGACAAAGUCAUCUUGGAUGUUAUUAACAGUCUAUCAAGCAAUUAAGGAAUUAGGAGGUUAUCUUGAAGGUUAUGGAGUUUAUCAAUAGUUUCAUUGAGGAAUCAGAAUAGCCGCGAUUUAAUCGGAUUGGAUCACCAGUUAUUCCCUUCAUCCAUGUACUCCAUACUUAUCAGCGGUGUAAAUUAUACUAAUAUAUGAUCGUCUUCAUAACCAUCAUCAUUAUCAAUAAAUUUGAAAACUAUUCAUGAAGGAUCCUCAACAUUGAUCGGUAUUCAUCAAUGAAAUUGGAGUCAAAAUGAUGAACUGCUUGAAAACAAUGAUAUCAGCCAUGAUCAAAGUGGAAUAAUUUCUUAUUGUGAUUCAACAAAAGUCAUUUUUCAUCUAGAAUUUCAUGAUUAGGCAAAGAAAUCACAUCCAAAUCAGAUUGAAUUUAAACAAAAUUUAACGACAAGAAAACUGUCGAUUUGAAUGUUUUGAAAACAAAAGGUAUUAAGUCUAUCAAAGGGAAACGUUUCCUUGGAACAACAAUUAUCUAGUGAUUUAUUUUACCAGCAAGGGUUGUGGAGGAAUAAAGCUCAAAGAGGUUUGGCGAGUUUAGGCUCAAAGAAGGCAACUCCACAUCAAAUAAAAAGAAGGAAUGAAUGGUGAAACAUAGGGAAAGAGGAAGAAACAGCCCAAAAAAAUGAUCCAAGAAGGAGGUGAAGCAGGUAUGGCAAGGUGAAGGCAAAGAAAAGGAACAAUAUAGCAAGGCUUAGGUCAAAAAUUUAUAUAUUGACAAAUGGAAAUGCUAUUGCUGUGCUCAUUAAAUUGGAUCCUAAUAAAAAGAUGAAAUCACGGAAAUCAUUGUUAGACUGAUGAAUACGGUCAAAAUGUUGAUGAUAUUCAGACCAAACAACAUUGAUAGCUGGUCAUCAGAAGUUUUGUGUUAUCUUGAUGGCUUUUUCAUCAUUUGAACAUACAAUGAACAAAAGAAACGUUUUGCACUCUAUCUGUGUAAUUGACACUUUUUUAGGAUUGGAUUUGGUGAAUAAUAAUAAUGAUAAUUUACUGGAAGUGAGAAGUUUACCCAAAGUACAUAAAGUACAUAAACAACAAGAUGGAAGGCAGAAAAAGAAGGAAAAAUAUUGAGGAAAGCAAAUUUUUUUGGCAACAUCCCUACUGAUAAACUCUUUCUGAUUUAUUUUGUCUUAAGGUUCUUUUUUAGCUGAUUUGUUGGUCAACAUGAAUGCAGAAGUAGACCAAAGAGUGUCCAUUAUCAAUAUCUUUUUUUCAAUUUAAGCCCAGCAAGAGAUCAAUAGUGAAUAUCAAGGCUGACAAAAUCAACUGUAACGGACAAGAAAAGUACAUCGCUAUCUACAUAAAUCAACUGAAUGGUAAUGCACAGCUACAUCAACGACAACAAAACCAUCAAACUAAUCAAAGUGUUCAACAUUUGAUGUGAUUAUCUUACCUUAAUCUUGACUAAUUUUUCUACUUUCUUCCUCUCACUCUAUUAGUCUGCCCAAUAAUUAAAACAUUAAAAUUAUUUUGUUAUUAUAGCUAAUGGUAUAUUGGAACAUGCAAACAUUCACCAAAAAAAAAGAGUCAACGAUCGAGCCAAUUUCAUUUGGAAUUGAAAAUGCAAAAAAGCAAGAAUAAAAAAUCACAUCCAUUUGACCCAAAA